AGCGUAGACGGUAUGGCAAGUCUGAUGUGAAAGGCCAGGGCUCAACCUUGGGACUGCAUUGGAAACUGUCGAACUAGAGUGUCGGAGAGGCAAGUGGAAUUCCUAGUGUAGCGGUGAAAUGCGUAGAUAUUAGGAGGAACACCAGUGGCGAAGGCGGCUUGCUGGACGAUGACUGACGUUGAGGCUCGAAAGCGUGGGAGCAAACA
RNAcentral lists this ribosomal RNA (206 nucleotides) under uncultured bacterium. RNAcentral describes it as "partial 16S ribosomal RNA". It matches the Rfam family "Bacterial small subunit ribosomal RNA", at positions 568 to 774 of the family's 1533-position model. The record is from RNAcentral.